Molecule: ribosomal RNA, 379 nt
Filed under: uncultured bacterium
Lineage: Bacteria
Description: bacterial SSU rRNA
Rfam family: Bacterial small subunit ribosomal RNA
Source: RNAcentral
AUUGAACGCUGGCGGCAUGCUUUACACAUGCAAGUCGAACGGUAACAGGCCUUCGGGUGCUGACGAGUGGCGAACGGGUGAGUAAUGCAUCGGAACGUGCCCAAUCGUGGGGGAUAACGUAGCGAAAGUUACGCUAAUACCGCAUACGACCUACGGGUGAAAGUGGGGGACCUUCGGGCCUCACGCGAUGAGAUGAGCCGAUGCCGGAUUAGCUAGUUGGCGGGGUAAAGGCCCACCAAGGCGACGAUCCGUAGCUGGUCUGAGAGGAUGAUCAGCCACACUGGAACUGAGACACGGUCCAGACUCCUACGGGAGGCAGCAGUGGGGAAUAUUGGACAAGUGGGGGCAACCCUGAUCCAGCCAUGCCGCGUGUGUGAAG